AGGGGCAGCGGGGGAGGAAGCUUGCUUUCUCCUGCCGGCGACCGGCGCACGGGUGAGUAACACGUAUGCAACCUGGCCGUCACAGGUGGAUAACCGGAAGAAAUUCCGACUAAUACAGCAUAACACUCCUGAGGGACAUCCUUUGGGAGUCAAAGGAGGCGACUCCGGUGACGGAUGGGCAUGCGGCGCAUUAGGUAGUUGGUAGGGUAACGGCCUACCAAGCCGACGAUGCGUAGGGGUUCUGAGAGGAAGGUCCCCCACAUCGGAACUGAGACACGGUCCAAACUCCUACGGGAGGCAGCAGUGAGGAAUAUUGGUCAAUGGCCGGAAGGCUGAACCAGCCAAGUCGUGUGAGGGAAUAAGGCCCUAUGGGUCGUAAACCUCUUUUGUCAGGGAGCAAAGGCGUCCACGAGUGGACGAAAGGAGAGUACCUGAAGAAAAAGCAUCGGCUAACUCCGUGCCAGCAGCCGCGGUAAUACGGAGGAUGCGAGCGUUAUCCGGAUUUAUUGGGUUUAAAGGGUGCGUAGGCGGAGUGUCAAGUCAGCGGUAAAAUUUCGGGGCUCAACCCCGUCGUGCCGUUGAAACUGACACCCUUGAGUGAGUGAGAAGUAAGCGGAAUGCGUGGUGUAGCGGUGAAAUGCAUA
RNAcentral lists this ribosomal RNA (644 nucleotides) under uncultured bacterium. RNAcentral's name for it is "bacterial SSU rRNA". It matches the Rfam family "Bacterial small subunit ribosomal RNA", at positions 65 to 692 of the family's 1533-position model. The record is from RNAcentral.